GGAAGAGUAUCGAAGUGGUCAUAACGAGCCUGACUCGAAAUCAGGUGUACGGCAACGUACCGUGGGUUCGAAUCCCACCUCUUCCGCCA
This 89-nucleotide transfer RNA is filed under the name Thermoclostridium stercorarium. Its description in RNAcentral is "tRNA-Ser". It matches the Rfam family "tRNA". Rfam says of the family: Transfer RNA (tRNA) molecules are approximately 80 nucleotides in length. Lineage: Bacteria; Bacillati; Bacillota; Clostridia; Eubacteriales; Oscillospiraceae. The record is from RNAcentral. RNAcentral also lists the same sequence under 4 other names.